This 566-nucleotide ribosomal RNA is filed under the name Glomeromycotina sp. Its description in RNAcentral is "SSU rRNA". It matches the Rfam family "Eukaryotic small subunit ribosomal RNA", at positions 548 to 1113 of the family's 1831-position model. The record is from RNAcentral. Lineage: Eukaryota; Fungi; Glomeromycota.
UUGGAGGGCAAGUCUGGUGCCAGCAGCCGCGGUAAUUCCAGCUCCAAUAGCGUAUAUUAAAGUUGUUGCAGUUAAAAAGCUCGUAGUCGAACUUCGGGAUUUACCCAUUGGUCAGGCUUAAUUGUCUGUACUGGUGAGAUAAAUCUCUACCUUCUGAGGAACUUUCAUGCCAUUUAUUUGGUAUGAUUGGAAAUCAGGACUAUUACUUUGAAAAAAUUAGAGUGUUUAAAGCAGGCUAACGUCUGAAUAUAUUAGCAUGGAAUAAUGAAAUAGGACGGCUUGGUUCUAUUUCGUUGGUUUCUAGGAUCACCGUAAUGAUUAAUAGGGAUAGUUGGGCGCAUUAGUAUUCAAUUGUCAGAGGUGAAAUUCUUGGAUUUAUUGAAGACUAACUACUGCGAAAGCAUUUGCCAAGGAUGUUUUCAUUAAUCAAGAACGAAAGUUAGGGGAUCGAAGACGAUCAGAUACCGUCGUAGUCUUAACCAUAAACUAUGCCGACUAGGGAUCGGACGAAGUUAAUUUUAUAAUGACGCGUUCGGCGCCUUACGGGAAACCAAAGUGUUUGGGUU